RNAcentral lists this ribosomal RNA (253 nucleotides) under uncultured bacterium. RNAcentral's name for it is "partial 16S ribosomal RNA". It matches the Rfam family "Bacterial small subunit ribosomal RNA", at positions 524 to 776 of the family's 1533-position model. The record is from RNAcentral.
UACGUAGGGUGCAAGCGUUGUCCGGAAUCAUUGGGCGUAAAGAGCGCGUAGGCGGCCCUGUAAGUCCGUUCUGAAAGUCAAAGGCUCAACCUUUGAAUGCGGAUGGAUACUGCAGGGCUAGAGUCCGGAAGAGGAGAGUGGAAUUCCUGGUGUAGCGGUGAAAUGCGCAGAUAUCAGGAAGAACACCCGUGGCGAAGGCGGCUCUCUGGGACGGUACUGACGCUGAGACGCGAAAGCGUGGGGAGCGAACAGG